RNAcentral lists this ribosomal RNA (541 nucleotides) under uncultured archaeon. RNAcentral's name for it is "bacterial SSU rRNA". It matches the Rfam family "Archaeal small subunit ribosomal RNA", at positions 457 to 997 of the family's 1478-position model. The record is from RNAcentral.
GGCAGCCGCCGCGGGAACACCGGCGGCCCGAGUGGUGAUCGUGAUUAUUGGGUCUAAAGGGUCCGUAGCCGGUUUGGUCAGUCCUCCGGGAAAUCUGAUAGCUCAACUAUUAGGCUUUCGGGGGAUACUGCCAGACUUGGAACCGGGAGAGGUAAGAGGUACUACAGGGGUAGGAGUGAAAUCUUGUAAUCCCUGUGGGACCACCUGUGGCGAAGGCGUCUUACCAGAACGGGUUCGACGGUGAGGGACGAAAGCUGGGGGCACGAACCGGAUUAGAUACCCGGGUAGUCCCAGCCGUAAACGAUGCUCGCUAGGUGUCAGGCAUGGCGCGACCGUGUCUGGUGCCGCAGGGAAGCCGUGAAGCGAGCCACCUGGGAAGUACGGCCGCAAGGCUGAAACUUAAAGGAAUUGGCGGGGGAGCACAACAACGGGUGGAGCCUGCGGUUUAAUUGGACUCAACGCCGGACAACUCACCGGGGGCGACAGCAAUAUGUAGGCCAAGCUGAAGACUUUGCCUGAAUCGCUGAGAGGAGGUGCAUGG